CCCUUAGAUGUUCUGGGCCGCACGCGCGCUACACUGACUGGUGCAACAAGUGUCGCUCCUUGGCCGAUAGGCCUGGGCAAUCUUUGAACGCCAGUCGUGAUGGGGAUAGAUUCUUGCAAUUUUUGAUCUUCAACGAGGAAUUCCUAGUAAAUGCGAGUCAUCAUCUCGCGUUGAUUACGUCCCUGCCCUUUGUACACACCGCCCGUCGCACCUACCGAUUGAAUGGUCCGGUGAAGCCUCGGGAUUGCGAAUGCUUCGCGCGGACGCGAGAACUUGGCUAAACCUUACCAUUUAGAGGAAGGUGAAGUCGUAACA
This 315-nucleotide ribosomal RNA is filed under the name uncultured eukaryote. RNAcentral's name for it is "partial 18S ribosomal RNA". It matches the Rfam family "Eukaryotic small subunit ribosomal RNA", at positions 1470 to 1796 of the family's 1831-position model. The record is from RNAcentral.